This 72-nucleotide transfer RNA is filed under the name Candidatus Woesearchaeota archaeon. RNAcentral describes it as "tRNA-Val". It matches the Rfam family "tRNA". From Rfam's summary of the family: Transfer RNA (tRNA) molecules are approximately 80 nucleotides in length. Their secondary structure includes four short double-helical elements and three loops (D, anti-codon, and T loops). Further hydrogen bonds mediate the characteristic L-shaped molecular structure. tRNAs have two regions of fundamental functional importance: the anti-codon, which is responsible for specific mRNA codon recognition, and the 3' end, to which the tRNAs corresponding amino acid is attached (by aminoacyl-tRNA synthetases). tRNAs cope with the degeneracy of the genetic code in two manners: having more than one tRNA (with a specific anti-codon) for a particular amino acid; and 'wobble' base-pairing, i.e. permitting non-standard base-pairing at the 3rd anti-codon position. Lineage: Archaea; Nanobdellati; Candidatus Woesearchaeota. The record is from RNAcentral.
GGGCUUAUGGUCUAGCGGUAUGACGUCGCCUCGACAUGGCGGAAGUCCCCGGUUCAAAUCCGGGUAGGCCCA